GAGCGGACGGCGCUUCGCCCGCACAUCUCCAAUUGAAGCAGCUAUUACAGAGCCGGAGCCUCUGCGCGGACUCGGUCGCAUCCUCCUCCCUCGCCGCCAACGCUGCGAUCGGGUAUGAUUUCUCGACCGGAGGGGAAAAGAGAUGAAUAACCGUGCUGAGAGCUGCUCAGGAAGCUAACACGGAGAAAUGCUUCGGAGACGCCGCAUCUUUCCUGCCGACUUUGUUUAAACUCUCCGUUCAUCAGCCCCGCGGAAAGGCGAUGGGAAGAACAAAUGGAAGAGAGCGCGGAGGGAAAAGACCCGAGCCGCUUUCCAUUUUUAUUAAGUAAAAUAAUAGUUAUGCCUCCCCUAC
Molecule: long non-coding RNA, 352 nt
Organism: Pygoscelis adeliae (Adelie penguin)
Lineage: Eukaryota; Metazoa; Chordata; Aves; Sphenisciformes; Spheniscidae
Exons: 2
Source: RefSeq, a predicted model, not a curated record